RNAcentral lists this ribosomal RNA (427 nucleotides) under uncultured bacterium. RNAcentral describes it as "partial 16S ribosomal RNA". It matches the Rfam family "Bacterial small subunit ribosomal RNA", at positions 354 to 796 of the family's 1533-position model. The record is from RNAcentral.
GUGGGGAAUUUUGGACAAUGGGCGCAAGCCUGAUCCAGCGACGCCGCGUGGAGGACGAAGGCCUUCGGGUUGUAAACUCCUUUUGGAGGGGAAGAAUAAAUUGACGGUACCCUCAGAAAAAGCCACGGCUAACUACGUGCCAGCAGCCGCGGUAAUACGUAGGUGGCGAGCGUUACUCGGCAUUACUAGGCGUAAAGCGUAUGUAGGUGGUUAGAUAAGUCUAUGGUGAAAUUUCCUGGCUUAACUGGGAAGGGACAUAGAUACUAUCUGGCUUGAGUGUGGGAGGGGGAGACGGAAUUCCUGGUGUAGCGGUGAAAUGCGUAGAUAUCAGGAGGAACACCGAUGGCGAAAGCAGUCUCCUGGCCCAAUACUGACACUGAGGUACGAAAGCUAGGGUAGCAAACAGGAUUAGAUACCCUUGUAGUCC